Molecule: long non-coding RNA, 656 nt
Organism: Ornithodoros turicata
Lineage: Eukaryota; Metazoa; Arthropoda; Arachnida; Ixodida; Argasidae
Exons: 3
Source: RefSeq, a predicted model, not a curated record
AGCAGACGACGGACGUUGAGGGUUUUCUGGUAUUCCCUCUCCGCAAACGUCACGCAGCCGCACCAAUCAGGGAGCGACUGUCGGGACGUCGUCUGCCUGGGAAACCGCGUAGAGCCUAGCUGUGAUCAUAUCGGACGUCGAAAGCGAAAGUUUUUCCUCGUCGCUGCUGGAUGAAUUCAGUGAGGACAGCUCGGACGACGUGGUGUCAGACGAUGAUCCGUAUUCAACGGACCCACUUCCGCUUCAUCCUCCGAUCAACAGGGAUGCAGUUGUUCGCGAAGUCACGCAAAACGAUGACUUUCGGUGUCUGUGUGGCGUCUGCAGUCCGGAGCAACCAGACGAAUACUUGUGCUGCACCUCAGUGAGCCAGGUUGCAGCUCUGUGUGACAGUGCUGGCGUGCAGUGCGUCACCGAGCACCGUCUGUUCCACGACUUCUGUCUGCGGAGGGAAAUGCUGGCGGUGAAUGCACGCCAGUACUGCCGCUACGACUAUCGGCUGCGGCUGUUGGAUCCGACAGACAACAGGUGUCUGAGGUUCACAGCCUACUCUAUAUUUGCCAGUUGGGUCUGGGGCUACCUCGGACCUAGAAAUAGGCGACAAAUUCCAGGCUGCGCUGUGCGAGCGAUUCGAAGAGAGCACCCGUCGCCUUCCUACC